UACGUAGGGUGCGAGCGUUGUCCGGAAUUAUUGGGCGUAAAGAGCUCGUAGGUGGUUUGUUGCGUCUGCCGUGAAAACCCGAGGCUUAACCUCGCGCCUGCAGUGGGUACGGGCAGACUAGAGUGCGGUAGGGGAGAUUGGAAUUCCUGGUGUAGCGGUGGAAUGCGCAGAUAUCAGGAGGAACAGCCGAUGGCGAAGGCAGAUCUCUGGCCGUUGACUGACGCUGAGGAGCGAAAGCGUGGGGAGCGAACAGG
RNAcentral lists this ribosomal RNA (254 nucleotides) under uncultured bacterium. RNAcentral describes it as "partial 16S ribosomal RNA". It matches the Rfam family "Bacterial small subunit ribosomal RNA", at positions 524 to 776 of the family's 1533-position model. The record is from RNAcentral.